Molecule: ribosomal RNA, 1023 nt
Filed under: Stagonospora tainanensis
Lineage: Eukaryota; Fungi; Ascomycota; Dothideomycetes; Pleosporales; Massarinaceae
Also listed under: 2 other names
Description: SSU rRNA
Rfam family: Eukaryotic small subunit ribosomal RNA
Source: RNAcentral
UAUACCGUGAAACUGCGAAUGGCUCAUUAAAUCAGUUAUCGUUUAUUUGAUAGUACCUUACUACUUGGAUACCUGUGGUAAUUCUAGAGCUAAUACAUGCUAAAAACCCCGACUUCGGAAGGGGUGUAUUUAUUAGAUAAAAAACCAAUGCCCUUCGGGGCUCCUUGGUGAUUCAUAAUAACUUCUCAGAUCGCAUGGCCUUGCGCCGGCGACGGUUCAUUCAAAUUUCUGCCCUAUCAACUUUCGAUGGUAAGGUAUUGGCUUACCAUGGUGGCAACGGGUAACGGGGAAUUAGGGUUCGAUUCCGGAGAGUUAGCCUGAGAAACGGCUAACACAUCCAAGGAAGGCAGCAGGCGCGCAAAUUACCCAAUCCCGAUACGGGGAGGUAGUGACAAUAAAUACUGAUACAGGGCUCUUUUGGGUCUUGUAAUUGGAAUGAGUACAAUUUAAACCUCUUAACGAGGAACAAUUGGAGGGCAAGUCUGGUGCCAGCAGCCGCGGUAAUUCCAGCUCCAAUAGCGUAUAUUAAAGUUGUUGCAGUUAAAAAGCUCGUAGUUGAACCUUUGGCCUGGCUGGCAGGUCCGCCUCACCGCGUGCACUUGUCCGGCCGGGCCUUUUCUUCUGGAGAACCGCAUGCCCUUCACUGGGUGUGUUGGGGACCAGGACUUUUACUUUGAAAAAAUUAGAGUGUUCAAAGCAGGCCUUUGCUCGAAUAUUACAGCAUGGAAUAAUAGAAUAGGACGUGCGGUUCUAUUUUGUUGGUUUCUAGGACCGCCGUAAUGAUUAAUAGGGACAGUCGGGGGCAUCAGUAUUCAAUUGUCAGAGGUGAAAUUCUUGGAUUUAUUGAAGACUAACUACUGCGAAAGCAUUUGCCAAGGAUGUUUUCAUUAAUCAGUGAACGAAAGUUAGGGGAUCGAAGACGAUCAGAUACCGUCGUAGUCUUAACCAUAAACUAUGCCGACUAGGGAUCGGGCGGUGUUACUAUUUUGACUCGCUCGGCACCUUACGAGAAAUCAAAGUGUU